UGGAAUGAUUGUGUUGUCAAUCAUUUGAAUACAGCUACUACCUCAAAAAAAAAAAAAACUUUACUGUGUGGUCUUUUGUCUUAAAUGUUUUCCAUUAUUUCUUUGUUCUGCGGUAGGUUGUCCAGCAGGGGGUAGUGUUUGCUCGAACUCUUAACAAAGGCGCACAGAUGUGACGUAAUUGUUACGUCGCCUUGGCGCGAUGUCCAAACAAAUUUGAAAACCUGAAGAAUCGGACCGUUUGCAGACUGGAAAAAGAAAGUAGGCUAGUUUCUGUUCUCUCCUACAAACACAUUACUUGUGGAUAACGGUGCUGCAGUCAUCACAGUGCAGUAAUGUCGUGGGACUUUUUUGUGCCUGUGUGCGUUGGAGACCUGGUGAAAACUGGGGGGAUCAACCAGUACGUUGUUCAGGAUGUGGUUCCCCCAAAACAGCUGCCAUCCCAACUCAGUAAAUUCAAGGCAGCACUGAGAAGCCAGGGACCCAUGUCGAUACUGGAACAUUUUGACACGGGCUAUAGUGUUUUACAGCACUUUAACUCGGUGGAUCUAGGGGUGAAAGAGGAUACCCUUGAGUUGCUUGUGCAAGUGGUUAGUGGCCUAGCUGUUUCCCUGCCGGCACUUCUCGCAUCCACCUCCCUCUCAGCUGCAGAACGCAAAGAGAAACUUAAUGCUGUUAAAAUGAGUGUCUUCUUGCUUUGCAAACUCACUGAGAACCUUGAGAGUGUCUCCUACCGACAGAAUAUCAUCACAGCACCAGGAAAGGGUGGGAAAAAAGGCAAAGCUGGUGGUGAAGGACUGUUGCAGUGGGACUCAGAGAGAGAGAAGGUGCUGCAGGCCCUUGUACAGCUGCUCCAGCUGGAUAUCCGUUGCCUUUGGAACCUGUCCCUAGUAGAGGAGGAGUUUAUCAGCUGUGUGACCUGCUGCUGCUACAAGCUGCUGGAGAACCCAACCAUCAGUCAUGUCAAAAGUAAACCCACUAGAGAUGGUAUAAUUCAUCUACUGGGGUUGCUCAUCAAAAAGUACAAUCACCUUCUAGGUGCUAGCGUUAAAGUGAUUCAGCUGUUGCAACACUUUGAGCAACUGCCAUCUGUAUUUGCUCAGGCUGUGUCUGUGUGGAGCACAGAAUAUGGAGUCAAAGCAAUCAUAGGAGAAGUCAUAAGGGAAAUUGGUCAGAAGUCAAGUGAAGACCUUGCCAGAGAAGGGUCAGGUGUCAAAGCCUUUGCCUAUUUCCUGUCAGAACUCAGUGCACUGGUACCUGAAUUUAUGAUCCCCAACAUUAGUGUCCUCAUCACACACCUGGAAGGAGAGAGUCAUACAAUGCGUGUUGCUGUGUGUGAGGUGCUGGGAGAGAUCCUGGUUCGGGUCCUCUGUGGUGACAGCCUAGAUGAGUCUGGCAAAUCUGAUCGUGACCGCUUCUUUGACAUACUUCAGGAACAUCUGCAUGACACACACUCUCACGUCAGAGCUCGUGUGUUGCAGGUCUACGCACGCAUCGUCAACAGCAAAGCGUUGCCCCUGUGCAGGUACAGUGAAGUGAUGGAGCUCGCUGUGGGACGUCUGAUGGACAAAUCUAUAAAUGCAGUGAAGAGUGCCAUCCAGCUGUUGGCAGCCUUUAUUGCACAUAAUCCAUAUAGCUGCAAGCUGAGCAGUGCAGAUCUGAAGAAACCUUUGGAGAAAGAGACUGCUAAGCUGAGAGAAAUGAAAAUGAAAUUGGAAGGACAAGCACCUGUCACAUUGAUUAAAGCGUCUGAGCUGUGGGCUGCCAUGGAGCCUGAGCUUCUUGCAACUGUCAGAACUGUGUUGGAACCCACAAGUGAAAAGAAGGAGCAGCAGGACGACGAGGAGGAUGGGGAUGUGGAGGAAGAAAAGGCAGAAGAAGACGACAGAGCUACUGCAGUGAAGAUAGCUCAGUACCUGCGCAUCAACAAAUACAGGAAUGCUGUUCAGCUUUGUAUAAGAGCUCACAGCUGCUUCCCAGAGUCUGAGAUGUUUGUUUCUCUCUCCACUCUCACCACCGAGAAUAUAAUGGACACACUGGCUUUAAUUUUCAAAGGCUCGGACGAAGACGCCUCAGAGAUCAGCCAGAACUUGCCACCAACCCCACAGAAGGAGGGAGAUAAAGAUGGAGUGGAUGGGGAGCUGAAGAAGCAGGAGAUGUUGGUACAAUACUUAAGAGAUACGGAAACCUUUGCCUUACAAGUGGAGAGGGCAAUCUCUGUCAUCAACAGCAUGCUCUACUGGAAAACAACUUCAGUGGUCCAGGAGUCGGUGCAGUUUUGUGUGACAGUAUGCGAGUUCAGUGUAGCUAACUCGGUCAGUGGAGUGAGGAAGAUGUUGCCCCUGGUCUGGUCAACUGAUGCUGCUAUUAAAGAUGCAGUGGUUCAGGCCUACAGGCGUCUGUAUCUGAACCCUCAGGGAGACACUGUCAGGCUGAAAGCCCAGACUCUUGUCGAUAAUCUCUCUGAGCUGAUGGUGGAUGCAUCUCUGGGAACUAUCCAAUGUCUUGAGGAAAUUGUGCAGGAGUUCUUUGGCAGCGGGAGCAGUCUCCAGUCCACUGUAGUUCAGGUGUUGUGGGAAAGAUUUACUGGUAAAAGAGAAACAUCCGUCUUACACAAGCGAGCUGCAGUGUUACUGCUGGGCAUGGCAGCACGGGCGGAGAGAGAAGUGGUGCUCAGUAACCUGGACACCCUUUGUUCAGUGGCUCUGGGUGAAAAAGUGACUGAGGACUUCCUUCUAGCUAGAGACACAGUUAUCACCAUCUGCAGCAUCACUGACCAUGUCAGGCAAUCAAAAAGAGCUCCAUUUAGACUGCCUCAGGACCAUCAGCUCUUCACCUGCCUCACACAGGCCAUUGCUGAUGGUGUGACGAUGGAAGAUCCUUACUGGCAAAGCUUUAUGGAACAGGCGGUUCGUCUCAUCUAUUUCCUGGCUGAGUCGCCGGACCAGCUGUGCUCCAGAUUGCUCCAGAGAAGUGCUCGCCUCUUGUUAGAUCAGAUCGCAGAGCAUGCAGAAGUCAAUGGGGAUGUUGGCCAAAUACAGGAUGGAUCCCAGGAGCCCAAUGAGCAAGGUGAACAAGUGAACUGUGUGUGUCUGGCCCAGCUGUUGGCGCUGUGUGGAUGCGUGGCUUUCUGGCAGGUGUCUCACCUUGAGCGCAGUGUGAGUGCUGAGCUGCGGAGGAGGAGAGGAGAGACAGAGGAGAGGGAGGAGAAAGAAAAGGGACCAGCCAGUAAAGCUAAGCAACAAGUUGCCAGUGAAAGUGCCAUGGAGGAGGAGCUUGGGUUGAUUGGCGCCUCUGCUGAAGAUACAGAAGCAGAACUCAUCAGAAAAAUCUGCGAAACCGAAUUACUGGCUGAGGAGAACCUGCUGAGUACUUUCCUUCCUUUACUGGUGAAAGUCUGCAGCUCCCCAGGACGCUACCCCCACCCUCAACUCAUGACUGCUGCUUGUCUGGCACUCUCUCAGUACAUGAUGAUAAGCCCAUCAGUGUGUGAAGAAAACAUCCGUCUCCUGUUCACGGUGUUGGAACGGUCUACUCUCCCUGUUGUAAGGGCCAAUACCAUUAUAGCUCUUGGAGACCUGACAGUCCGUUUCCCAAAUAUUUUGGAGCCCUGGACACAAAAUCUCUAUGCAAGGCUGAGUGACGAGGUUCCUUCAGUGAGGCAGACAGCUGUGACGGUUCUUACUCAGUUGGUGCUUAAAGAUGUGCUCAAAGUCAAAGGUCAAGUCAGUGAGGUUGCUGUGCUGCUAAUUGACCCAGAGCCACACAUUACCAGCCUGGCCCUAAAUUUCUUCAAUGAGCUGGCCACCAAGGACAACGCCAUCUACAACCUGCUCCCAGACAUCAUCAGCCGCCUGUCUGAUCCAGAGAGAGGCAUGAGCUCAGAGGACUUCAACAUCAUUAUGAAACAACUGUUCUCCUACAUCACUAAAGAAAGGCAGACUGAGUCUCUGGUAGAGAAACUGUGUCAGCGCUUUAGGACUGCCAAGAACGAGCGCCAGUGGUGUGAUUUGGCCAUGUCCCUGUCUCUGCUAUCAAUGUGUGAGCGUGGUUUUAAGAGGCUGCAGGAAUGCUGGGAGUGUUACAGUGACAAGUUAACUGAACCUGGAGUCUACCAGCCUCUGCACUCCAUCACUGCCAAGCUCCGUCGUGGAGCAAAACCACAGUUUAAGGCUCAGGUAGAUGAGUUUGAAAAGCGUCUGACUGCGGUUCACACACGUGGUCUAGAGAAUGUAGAGAGCCCCGAAAUGGAUGAAGAGAACCAGAAAGAAAGAGGGUCUACUGAGAAGACGGUCAUGCGUACACCUCUGCCCAAAAGAGGCCGUCAAAAGGCAAAAAGAGGUCAAAAAAAAGCCCUCAGUUUCCAGCGAUGGUGAUGACAGUUUUGUGACUCCACAAAAGUCUCGCAAAUCCAAGAAACCAGUAAUUACCUUCAGCAGUGAUGAAGAGGAGGAGGAGGAGGAUGAGGAGGAUGCUGUUAUGGCUGAGAGUGAGACCCCUAAAGUGACAACACCCAUCGCACGCACAUCCAGACGAGCUCGACUCAGAAACUGAUUUCCUCUUUUUUCUUUUGUCCUUUUUCUCUCUUUUUAAUAAUUUUAUCUUCAAAGAAAUGUUCCUUUCUUGCUUUUAUCCUUUUUAUACAUAUGUGUACCCAGUUUUGAUGCUUAGCACUGAACUACAUGAUCUGUUGACAGAAGUGAAACAGAUUUUAAUAAACCUGGCUCUAGUUUGA
Melanotaenia boesemani (Boeseman's rainbowfish) is the source of this 4732-nucleotide RNA transcript. It is a transcript of the gene named non-SMC condensin I complex, subunit D2, with no coding region annotated. The record is from RefSeq and is a predicted model, not a curated record. Lineage: Eukaryota; Metazoa; Chordata; Actinopteri; Atheriniformes; Melanotaeniidae. The transcript is spliced from 32 exons.